UACGUAGGGCGCAAGCGUUGUCCGGAAUUAUUGGGCGUAAAGAGCUCGUAGGCGGCCUGUUACGUCUGCUGUGAAAUCCCGGGGCUUAACCCCGGGCGUGCAGUGGAUACGGGCAGGCUGGAGGCAGGCAGGGGAGAACGGAAUUCCCGGUGUAGAGGUGAAAUGCGCAGAUAUCGGGAGGAACACCGGUGGCGAAGGCGGUUCUCUGGGCCUGUACUGACGCUGAGGAGCGAAAGCGUGGGGAGCGAACAGG
This 253-nucleotide ribosomal RNA is filed under the name uncultured bacterium. Its description in RNAcentral is "partial 16S ribosomal RNA". It matches the Rfam family "Bacterial small subunit ribosomal RNA", at positions 524 to 776 of the family's 1533-position model. The record is from RNAcentral.